ACCAGCAGUUGACUGUGGGUGGUGGAUGCGGGCAGGCGAUCUGGGUGUUGACGUUAAAGCGCUGCUCCCCCGGGACCAGCUGUCGCUGCCACCAGUGACCCAUUCAGAUAUAAACCACUGUGUGUUUCACUUCACCUUUCUGUGGAUUUAACUUAUUUACUAUAGUGUUAUCAGAGGACUAUUUUCAAUAGUCACUUCAACACAUCGGAACUUAUGAGAGGUGUCCACUUCGUCAAGUGCAUAACCUCUUACAUACACGUUAAAUAACCGACAGUAUAAAAUGAGGAUGAAGACCCAUAUCUAUGUUUGGGCUGCAACUUCUCUGCUGUUGGUUGUUGGAGUAAGGGGAGGAUCAAGAGUCAAACUAGUCAACAAUGGGUAUGAGGGUGUGGUGGUGGCCAUAUCCCAGGAGGUGGAUGAAAUGGAUGGACCUGUUAUCAUUGAUUCCCUUAAGGAAAUGAUCCAAGAGGCAUCAAGAAGGUUAUAUAGAGCCACACAUAAACGAGCAUAUUUCCGGUCAGUAAAAAUCCUCAUCCCCAAAUCUUGGACCAAUACUAGUGUCAUUGGUAAUGCAUUGAGCGAAAGUUUCCAAGACAGUGAGGUUAGAGUGGACAUCAUGAACAGUGUGUAUAAAAACCAGCCAUAUACACAGCAAACUGGCGGUUGUGGUGACCCUGGUUUGUAUAUUCAUCUCACUGCAGAGUACCUCACAGAUCGACAGCAAUCUGCCUGGUGGGGACCGCGAGGGAAAGUACUACUGCUUGAGUGGGCUAAGUUGAGAUGGGGUGUGUUUGAUGAACUGGGUUAUCCAGGUGAUGAGAGUUUCCCGCUCUUCUAUAUCUGGGAGCAAAGCAAUGGAAGAUUUCCAGGUACUGGGGUUCUUCUUCCCACCUGCUGUGCCAAUGUACCAGUGGAAGGACGUCUUAUAGACAAGACGGGUAGGAGUACGUGUGCAUUAACACCUCAAGGAGAACCUGAUGAGAACUGCCGUUUUCUGCCGUACAAAGAUCAGCUUGCAACCUCUUCACUUAUGUCUUAUCCACUCAUCUUCAGUGACACGGUUGUCAAUUUCUGUAGUGGGCCAGAUAGUGACCACCCUCAUAAUCCUGUGGCUCCAACAAAGCAAAAUCUCUUCUGUGGUGGCCGAUCUGUGUGGGAAGUCAUGAUGGGACACAAGGACUUCGCAAAUGAUGCGAAUCCUCCAACUGAAAGGUAUUUGGACCCUGACAUACAAGUUGUACAACAUGCUGAUGCCAACUAUGCCUUAGUAUUAGACUACUCUGGUAGCAUGAAUGAUCUUUACCGUAUCCACAAGCUACGAAAAACAGCACGACGUUGGAUUUUACAUGAAGUGGCAACAGGAAGCUACGUAGCAAUUAUAAGAUUUAGCAAAUAUGCCCAGUUGGUUCAUCGCUUGAUUAAAAUCACCGAUGAGGCUUCACGAAAAGGUCUUGCAGACUCAAUAACGACAAAAGCAGAUGGUGGAACCAGCAUUGGAGCUGGACUGUAUGUAGCAGUCAAAAAGACCUUGGCAAAUGUGAAGAACCCUGUUAUUCUACUGAUUACCGAUGGUGAGGAAAAUGAAAACCCUAGAAUUAAAGACAUCCUACAGAACGUCCUGGAUUCUGGUGUGCGCGUCAUUACUGUAGCCUUUGGGGCAGAAGCAGAUCCAAAGUUAGAAAAAAUUGCACAGCUGACUGGUGGUAAAACAUUCACAGUCAAUGAUAUUGAUGAAGGCCAUAUGUUGGAGGAUGCCUUUGAUGGAGCCCUGACCUACCAGCCACCACCACCCCGUAGUAACACCACAGUUACAAUCCACGAGGAAGUCUACAGAGGCACCGAGCUGCAAACAGGUUCAAGCUUCAUGGUGGACUUUACAGUUGGGCAAAACCUGGUGCUUAGGCUAGACACUGAUGAUCGAUACCAUGUUACUCAUGAACCUCACUUGGUGCGUCCUGAUGGGAAUAUUGUUGGGGGUGCUGUCUUUGAUCCAAACACCUUCACAUGGAUCCUCAAAGUACCAAUGGCAGAGCAAGGAGAGUGGAAGUGGCGGGUUGGACUGUCUGGCUCUGCAGAUAAAUUUAUUCGAUUGAAAGUGACUGCCAUGACCCGUGACCCCACUGUCUUCCCCAUCACCACCAAAGCCUGGAUGAGCAGUGGUGCACGGGAAGUCAAUGCUUCAACAGACAGAGUUAUCAUCUUUGCUGAAGUCAAACAGGGAAAUAAUCCUGUCGUCAAUGCUGAUGUCAGAGCCCUGGUAACUCCACCUGGUGAAGCUGAGCCUGAUGAGGUGUACAUACUAUUAGAUAAUGGUCAAGGAGCAGACUUUCAGGCUGGAGAUGGCAUUUACUCCCGCUACAUGACUCGUUACUCCAGAACUGGUCGUUACAGCGUCAAGGCUCAGGUUACAGAUGGAGGAAGAGCAGUUAUAAAUAAAGGUUUCCUUACUUCAUCUCAACGGAAACGACGCUCAGCCGAGGCCAGCUAUUAUGAAGGUAACUGCAAUACCAGUACCUGCAUCAGAUUUUCAUCCUCCUGCAGCCGUGAGAGACUUACGUAUUGUUCUCUUGGAUGAUGUUGAAGGUCCUUCAGACUUUAACAGGGUCAACAUUAGUCUCAUUUGGACUGCUACCGGUGAUGAUCUGGAUGUUGGUAGUGCAGCGCAGUAUGUACUUCGUAUGACAAGUAACAGAAAUGAUUUAUCAGAGAACCGCUUUAACAACGCAUCCAGUGAGACUAUAAUUUAUGACUCCCCUGUUGAAGCUGGAGAAAAUAUCAACAAAACUGAGGAACUAU
RNAcentral lists this unclassified non-coding RNA (2796 nucleotides) under Homarus americanus (American lobster). RNAcentral's name for it is "calcium-activated chloride channel regulator 1-like, transcript variant X6". The record is from RNAcentral. Lineage: Eukaryota; Metazoa; Arthropoda; Malacostraca; Decapoda; Nephropidae.